Non-coding RNA from Phascolarctos cinereus (koala), 680 nucleotides. NCBI's taxonomy places the organism in Eukaryota, Metazoa, Chordata, Mammalia, Diprotodontia, Phascolarctidae. The record is from RefSeq and is a predicted model, not a curated record.
ACUUCCGCACUGGAAAAGGUGCUACGAGCACAACCUGCCGGCUUGGAAACCGCUUUCUUUGCCCCCUGCUACCGCUUCCAGCCGAGCACCGCCCUUCCCUAGAAAGUGACACGUACUUAAAACCAGAGAAAUGCAGGUGUUGGCAUUGGAGCCGCACGGCGGCCUUCAGAGUUAGUCAGCUGGCGCUGGUUUAGACUUUAGAUUUUUUUCUAUUAUAAAAAUGAGCAUAAACAACCCUUGCCCUCCAGAUACAUUCUAAUCGAAGGAGAAAUAUGCAAGAACUACGUACAAACAAGAUCUAGCAUUGCCUCUGCUACUUACUAACUGUGUGACCCUGGGGUCCAGGUCUCAUCACCCCAUCACAUCCAUCCAUCUAUCUCAUGCCAGGCCCUUCACUAAACACUAGGGAUACAAAGCAGUUCAAUCCUUUAAAAAAAGCUCCUACGACACCCAGAAGACUGCAGAAUCCCACUCCUGCUUCCCUAUGGGAAUGACCCUAUGGCCUGGGCCACCUGUGUUCAGGAUUUGGACUACAGUUUCUAAUGUAUCCACACCUUUUGCUUCGUCACCCAUCAUCACAGGACUUUGAGGACUCACACAGAGCGUGACACAUGGUGGUGAGAAUUGAUACGAGGACACUGUCAAGGUCUCUCUGAAGAACUGUGGAAUUGAUUGUGUGA